GUGAACCUUAUGCACAAGCUCUGCUAAUUCCUGUUCUUCAGGGGUAGCUCGAUGAACACGUUGUAACUAUGCAGCUAAAGAUGCUUUACAUUAUCUUUACGUAAACAUAUAUACACAGGUUGAUAGAGUUUGGCUUACAAUAGGACUUAUCAAACUAUUCAAUCAAUCUAGAUAAACUUUAUCACCCUCCCUCAAUUCUAAUCAGGGACUGGUAGAAUUGAAAGUUUGGA
RNAcentral lists this unclassified non-coding RNA (230 nucleotides) under Hevea brasiliensis (rubber tree). Lineage: Eukaryota; Viridiplantae; Streptophyta; Magnoliopsida; Malpighiales; Euphorbiaceae. The record is from RNAcentral.